This 402-nucleotide ribosomal RNA is filed under the name uncultured bacterium. Its description in RNAcentral is "bacterial SSU rRNA". It matches the Rfam family "Bacterial small subunit ribosomal RNA", at positions 355 to 774 of the family's 1533-position model. The record is from RNAcentral.
UGGGGAAUUUUGCGCAAUGGGGGAAACCCUGACGCAGCAACGCCGCGUGGAGGAUGAAGUACUUCGGUACGUAAACUCCUUUCGAUCGGGACGAUUAUGACGGUACCGAGAGAAGAAGCCCCGGCUAACUUCGUGCCAGCAGCCGCGGUAAUACGAGGGGGGCGAGCGUUGUUCGGAAUUAUUGGGCGUAAAGGGUGCGUAGGCGGUUUGGUAAGUCUGAUGUGAAAUCUAUGGGCUCAACUCAUAGUCUGCAUCGGAAACUGCCGGGCUUGAGUAUGGGAGAGGUGAGUGGAAUUCCUGGUGUAGCGGUGAAAUGCGUAGAUAUCAGGAGGAACACCUGUGGCGAAAGCGGCUCACUGGACCAUAACUGACGCUGAUGCACGAAAGCUAGGGGAGCAAACA